This 542-nucleotide long non-coding RNA is filed under the name Anser cygnoides (Swan goose). Its description in RNAcentral is "lncRNA (ENSACDG00005007727.1)". The record is from RNAcentral. Lineage: Eukaryota; Metazoa; Chordata; Aves; Anseriformes; Anatidae.
AUGGAGGAAGAUUUCCUCAGGUCUCUAUUGUCCACAGGAGAAGGCUGCUGGAACCAGGAGGAGAGAAGCAGCCCCGAGAGGCACAGUGAUGAUGGAGGAACAGAGAAAUGCACUCAGAUCUGUUUCAGCUUCGACGGGCAAGUUCUUCAAAAUAAAAAAGCAGCUGGACAAUUAUACUGCUAGAGGAAAGGACUAUUACAAAGUGAGGAUGCUCAGCCUUAGGCUCUGCAUUAGAAUCUGUAAGUCCUGAAGCACAUCAGGCUUGGUGACUGCAGAGUCUCACUGGAGAGGAGCAGUCUGGAGCUUUCAGAAGGAGCAGAAGUUCUGUGUCAGGGUACCUAAUGGAUCCUAGAACAGAACUGCCCACCCCUGAAACAUUCCUGACAGGAGCUUGUGCAGCACUGUUUUUCGGAUGGAAAUACCCCAGUCCUGCUACCUAAAUCACUCUAGUGCUUGACUAUCAGUAUUGAAAGAGAGCUUUCCUGAAGCCUAGACUAAUUCCUCAUUUUGUAAUGUUAACUACUUCAUUCAGGUCCUGUACA